UCCGGUUUGGCACCGGCAGUCCCCCGAGAGUCCUCAGCAUUACCUGUUAGCAACACGGGUCGGGGGUUGCGCUCGUUGCGGGACUUAACCCAACAUCUCACGACACGAGCUGACGACAGCCAUGCAGCACCUCUACAGCGGUCCCCGAAGGGAAGGCGAGCUUUCCACCGGCUUUCCCCAGCAUGUCAAGCCUAGGUAAGGUUCUUCGCGUUGCGUCGAAUUAAACCACAUGCUCCACCGCUUGUGCGGGCCCCCGUCAAUUCCUUUGAGUUUCAACCUUGCGGUCGUACUCCCCAGGCGGGGUACUUCCUGCGUUAGCGCCGGCACCCAGAGGGUCGCUCCCCCAGGCACCUAGUACCCAUCGUUUACGGCGUGGACUAC
This 381-nucleotide unclassified non-coding RNA is filed under the name uncultured Gemmatimonadota bacterium. RNAcentral's name for it is "uncultured Gemmatimonadetes bacterium contains 16S-23S intergenic spacer region". The record is from RNAcentral. Lineage: Bacteria; Pseudomonadati; Gemmatimonadota.